RNAcentral lists this ribosomal RNA (1421 nucleotides) under metagenome. RNAcentral describes it as "SSU rRNA". It matches the Rfam family "Eukaryotic small subunit ribosomal RNA", at positions 387 to 1801 of the family's 1831-position model. The record is from RNAcentral.
AGAAGGAGCUUGAGAAUUGGCUACUACAUCUAAGGAAGGCAGCAGGCGCGCAAAUUGCCCAAUCCCGAUUCGGGGAGGUAGUGACAAAAAAUAACAAUACCGGGCCUUUUUGGGCUUGGUAAUUGGAAUGAGGGAGAGUUAAACGGACCAUCGAGUAUCCAUUGGAGGGCAAGUCUGGUGCCAGCAGCUGCGGUAAUACCAGCUCCAAUAGCGUAUAUUAAAGUUGUUGCAGUUAAAAAGCUCGUAGUUGGACUUGUGUGCGCUGUCCGCGGGUGGCCUGCGCCCAAAAGGGCGUUUCGGUUCGGCCCCGGUGGCGCCUUGAAAUCUGCAGCUGGGGGGACGUUGGCCCUAACUGGUCGGCGACCGCACGCCGGCUGCUCGGUUACUGUGAGAAAAUUAGAGUGUUCAAGGCAGGCAUUGGGCGCAAUUGAAUACAUUAGCAUGGAAUAAUAAAAUAUGGCUCCUGCCGUAUUUUGUUGGUUUUGACUGGUGGGAGUAAUGAUUGAUAGGGACGGUUGGGGGUGCUAGUAUUGAGCGGCCAGAGGUGAAAUUCAUGGAUUCGCUCAAGACUAACUUAUGCGAAAGCAUUCACCAAGGACGUCCUCUUUAAUCAAGAACGAAAGUUGGGGGAUCGAAGACGAUCAGAUACCGUCGUAGUCUCAACCAUAAACUAUGUCGACUUGGGAUCGGCGGUAGUUUUUUCAUUAAGACACUGUCGGGACCACGGGAGAAAUCAAAGUGUCUGGACUCUGGGGGAAGUAUGGUCGCAAGGCUGAAACUUGAAGGAAUUGACGGAAGGGCACCACCAGGAGUGGAGCCUGCGGCUUAAUUUGACCCAACACGGGGAAACUUACCAGGUCCAGAGAUGUAGAGGAUUGACAGAUUGAAGCUCUUUCUUGAUCACUUCGGUGGUGGUGCAUGGCCGUUCUUAGUUGGUGGAGUGAUUUGUCUGGUUAAUUCCGUUAACGAACGAGACCUCAGCCUGCUAGUGUAGUCGGCUGGAUUGCCUUUGGCGAUCCGUGAUUUCGACUUCUUAGAGGGACAAUCGACGCGCAGUCGAUGGAAGUUUGAGGCAAUAACAGGUCUGUGAUGCCCUUAGAUGUUCUGGGCCGCACGCGCGCUACACUGCUGGGCUCAGCGAGUUUUACUUGGCCGAGAGGCCCGGUUAAUCUUGUGAAAUCCCAGCGUGCUUGGGCUCGCCUCCUGCAACUGGAGGCGCCAACGAGGAAUUCCUAGUAGACGCAGGUCAUCAACCUGCAUCGAUUACGUCCCUGCCCUUUGUACACACCGCCCGUCGUUCCAUAAGAGUGAGGCAUCCGGUGAAUUCUCGGGAGAGCCUGGGCGUGGCCAGCAAUGGUCUGCUCGGGUUUGAACUUGCAUAAACUUGGUGCCUAUGAUUAGGGAAAAGUCGUAACAAGGUU